Alligator mississippiensis (American alligator) is the source of this 4418-nucleotide long non-coding RNA. RefSeq lists it as uncharacterized. The record is from RefSeq and is a predicted model, not a curated record. Lineage: Eukaryota; Metazoa; Chordata; Crocodylia; Alligatoridae. The transcript is spliced from 3 exons.
GGCCCUUUAAAUCAGGGCAGAGCGGUCAGCCUUCCAGGUGUUCCUGCCUCUCUUGAUCCCUGCAGCUGCUUCCUUCCAGCCAGGGGAUGAGGCUUUUUCCCUCUGCAAGUUGCUCCCUUUUCCUCUCUUUUCAGAGGCAGAAAAGUAUGCCCGUGGGUGCCCAAAGCUGGCAGUGCAUCCUUGCUGUGCUGUGCUGUGCAACGUGCCACAUCUGUCUCAGCAGCGUGCCUGGGUAUGGAAGAGGAUGGUUUGAUUGCUUGAGAAGGGGAGAAGCAAAAGCAAGAAGAACCCCAAUGCUCCUCUGGACGUCAGCAUGGAGACAGCAAAAUGGCAGCUUUGCAUUUGAUCCUAGUGCCAGGAACAUCUCCCAGUGCUUCGUUCUCCCACCCAUGGGCGACUGGCGCCUCUUGAGUCUGCAGGGGGCACCCGCAAAAGCUGUCGGCAGCGUGAGUGGCAGGGACAGCCCUGUCAGGGGCAUGUGCCCCCCCCAUGUUCCCCUACCGGUCGCCUAUGCUCCCACCCGUAUGCCAUAGGCAUUGUUUGGAAGAGAGCUGGCUUCUGGUCCAAUGAAACUACAAUAAAGAAGAAGAUUUUGAGUGGAACUGGACAGCUCAGGGAUCUGCUGGGCCAAUAGAGAACAGGAGCAAGAAAAGCCUGGAGGGAUGAACCCUGAGGACGGCAAUAGCAGGUCAGGACCGAGAUGUGCGAGUGGUUCAUUGAGGAGAGUCUCUGUACACAACAAGAGCAAGACUGCUGCUGGGAUGAUGUGUCUACUUGUGGUGUCUGCACUUUAAGAAAGAAGUUGUAAAGCUGGGAAGGGAUUCCAGAAAGAGCUGCAAAAAUACCGGAGCACUGCAGAUCUGCUGUACAGAGGGAGACUUUAAAAAAGCUUGCUUUAGUUUAUCAAAGAGAAGGGGAAGAAAAGAUUGGAUCACAGGCUACAAGGACCUAGAUGGGAAGGCGAUGUCUGAGAGCAAAGGGACUUUUAAUUUAGCAGAUGAAGGCGUAAGAAGCUGGAAGCUGAAAUGAGAUAAAUUCUGGCUCAGACAUAGCGUGUCAAUCUUGUGCAGUUAGGCUAGUUAACCAUGCAACAACUGAGGCCAAUUUCCCAUUGCUUCAUUUUAUUGAAGUCCAGAUUGGAUGUGUUCCUAACAGAUGCACAUUCGCUCAGGCAGAAGGUACGGGCUGGACUCAGGAAGCAGCAGGUGUUUUUUUUCUUCUGACCUGUGCAGUAGUAUAACCUGGGGGCAAGGGGUGAACAGGGCAUCAGCCUCAAGCAGUAACUUAGGGGGAGUCCCCCCAGCUGAGUGUGUGCCCCAGUGACCUUGCCUCGUCCUUGUUCUGUGAGUAGCCUUGCACUUUCCAGGGCUGCCUAUGCCAGGUGGUGAGUGCAUUUUAAACCAUAACUAAGGUAAAAUGCUGCAGGUAGCUUGGUGAUGGUGCCCGGCGCUCUCAGUGUUUGAUGAGAGAUGCAAACCCCUUAAAUGAUGGAGCCGAAAAGAUCGCUGGGUUUAUCUGAAUGUCAGAUCUUCUGGGUCCAAGCUCUGUUUAUAAGAAGAGAAAUGCACUCAGUAUGUGUCUGGCGGGAAUAUUGAUUGAGGGAAGCAUUGGAAAGGGGACAUAAUGUAGGACAGGAAUACGAGAUGCCCAAAAGAUUAGCAUAGGUUAAUUCUGAAAGGGAGCGAGGGAUGCGUUCCAAAUACUGAUUAGCCUGGACGUUGCCAGACGGAUGUGACAUUCAGCAAAGCACGGAGGGCAGCUGGAUGCACCAUACGUCUCCCGUACCAGGCAGGAGCCACGUGACACUCUCUGGGGCAAUAAAAGCCACGUGCAACCAGCUGCUGUCUGCCACUGCCUUCACUUUUGCAUUUGGGGACCCGAGGAAGUUGGCAGAAGGGUACCUGGGUGUUCAGAAGAAAGGGGAUAACUGCUGUGUGAAUGUGGGGGGUAGUUUAGAGAUGGCCAGGAGUGAGAUGGGAGGUGUGUGGGGGUGGAGGAGAUCUCCCAGCUUUGAGAUAAGCUCAGGGAAAGCUGAGAUGACGUUCUGCAUCUAAAGGAUUGGCGUGGCCUCAAGGACCCGUGUCUGAGGGCUUCACAGUCCAAAUGCAUUUAUUCUGCACUGUUGCCCUCAACAUAUUGUUGCAGGGAGGCUGAAUGGCCUUCUCCAGGACAUCCCAGGAGCCAGGCUCUGAGCCAGGCUUCAGAACCAGAUCCCCAGACUUAGGGGCUCUUCUGUAGUGGUCCAGACAGGGCUGCCGAGAAGCCCACCCCUGCCCACAACAUCCUGCUGCACCCACACCCACCCUGGAUAUGAGGCCCCAGGAGACCUCCCCGCAAUACUGCUCCUAAAUAUGCUGGAGAUUGAGAGCUCAAGAGCAUUGGGGGUAUUCCUGUAGCCUCAUUUCUGGGCAUGACACAUGGGGAACAGAAGAGGCCAGCCAGCAGAGGUGUACCUAGUACUUCUGGGGUGCGUCUACACAUGCACUUUAACGUGCAUUAGCCUAUUUUCAUGUGCAUUUAAGCGUCGCUAAACAAAACCAUGCUAUUUGGCUAAUGCACAUUAAAUAGUCUGAUACACAUUAAGUGUUACUUAAAAACCUUUAGUUAACGUGCAUUAAGGCAGGUUAAUGUGCAUUUUCUUAGUAGCAGAUUUAAUGUGCAUUAACUAAAGUGCACUAAUGCACAUAUAGACAUGCCCCUGCUGCCCUGGGUAUGGAUGUUGUCAGCUGGGAGAAGGGCAGGCAACUUAGUGCAUUGUGGCAUUGCCAAUGGCUUCUUAGCACGUGGAGCAACAUGACCUCCUGCUCCUUUGUGUUGUGUGGCUCCUGGAUAAUGGCCAUUGAUCCCUUUCUUCCCUGCAGGGAUGAGCAUGAUCAGGGUUACUGUUAGAUCCAGUGGAUAAUUUGGGGUUUUUAUUAUUAUUAUCUUAAAACUUCAAUCAAAUUUCAAAGCCCCCCAAAACUGUCAUUAACAUUGGUUCCCCAUGCCAGACCUGGUCAAAAACUUCACAUUGUAAAUGGUGUGUUUCUAUAAGUUAGAAAAAUGUCUGUGCUAUCCUACCCACCGCUCCACAGCCAGUCCAGGCAAUCCCUCCGUUUUGGUGCAGGGGUGCUGGAUUUGCAAGAACAUCUCUAACAGAUUCUCCUAAAGGUGCCCAAAAUUUCCUUCCCUGAGGGCUGCAUGGGCAACGUGGUGGCAGCUUCAGAGUCGUAAUGAGACCGUGACCUGCAGUCAGGUCCGUGCAGAUGCAACGGUUCGCUGCCGGGGUGUUAACUUCUAUCACAUAGAGGAAAUGUCAGUGUCAAUGAUCUUUUAACGAGAAGUUUCUGCCAACCGAUUCUACAGGACUAAGGUUGUCAUUAGCACUAUGUAACAACAGCUUUAUUGAACCAGAUCCUUCCAAGCAAAACCCAUUCUUGUAGAUGGCAGUCUUUAUAUUAACUAUUGAUAUUUGCACAUAUAAGCAGAGAUUUUUCUUUCUUAACUGUCACUCCCCCGAUACACGUGCGAUGAAGCAAAGCUCGUUAGCAGGGAGUCAGCAAUGAGCCUUGCAGUGACAGAAGCCAGCUCUUCUCAGGACAAAACCUACUCAAGUAGAUGUUGUUGAUUUUUAACUCCUUGAAUGGAAAAAUUAAGCCACUGGUCUCCUCAAGGGGAAGCUGAGAUGUGCCUAUACUGCCUCCCACGUGCUUCUGAGGCUGCCAGCCCAGGAAGAAAACAAUCCCACCAACUUACCAAAAUUACUGUGAAGCCGUGUUUUACAGUGUGCUCAAGGAUACUGUUGGGACCUGUGCCCCAGGGUCAUUGUGGUGGUGGCAUAGACAUGCCCCAAAGGCCACUGGUGAGCAGAUGCUGCUCCUGAUUGACCAGAGUGGAGUUAUCUCUGUGACAAAGUGCAGACAUGGGGCUAGCCGUCUGGCACAGGAGAUGACCACUUGAGAACUGGCAUUUGAUAUACAGGCAAAGCAGGGCUCCUCAAGCCGUUCUGGAUUUUAGCCCUGAGCUCCUAGAGAAGGCAAAGUCCCUGCCAUCUACAACACUGAUCACCCGCAGCUUUGUUUUUAAAUGAGGAGGGCAGCAGGGUGGGUCAGCACGCAGGUCCAACAACGCGUGCUAACUUUUCCAUACUCAGAAGAGACCUGCAGCUCUCUGCCUGUGGCUGGACAAGACGGAGUUGGUUAUCAUGGGAAGUGGUUCACUCAACAGUUAUGUUUUUUUUGUUAAUGAAUACCAUAUUUUCCUACAUAUAAUACACACUUCCCUCCAAAAAACUGACACUGGAAAUUGUAAUGCGCAUUAUAUGUGAGAAAUACGGUAAGAGCAGUUUCUGCUGCUCACUGGACAAACGUGAACAUAAGAGCUGGAGGAGUCUCACAGGGAGGGGAAGGAUGAGCAGGCUCAGGUCCUCAGCUGCUGGU